GAUGAACGCUGGCGGCGUGCCUAAUACAUGCAAGUCGAGCGAACAGACGAGGAGCUUGCUCCUCUGACGUUAGCGGCGCACGGGUGAGUAACACGUGGAUAACCUACCUAUAAGACUGGGAUAACUUCGGGACACCGGAGCUAAUACCGGAUAAUAUAUUGAACCGCAUGGUUCAAUAGUGAAAGACGGUUUUGCUGUCUCUUAUAGAUGGAUCCGCGCCGCAUUAGCUAGUUGGUAAGGUAACGGCCUACCAAGGCAACGAUGCGUAGCCGAACUGUGAGGGUGAUCGCCGGCACUGGAAGGGAGACACCGUCCAGACUCCUAAGGGAGGCAGCAGUAGGGAAUCGUAGGCAAUAGGCGAAAGCCUGACGGAACAACGCCGAGUGAGUGAUGGAGGUGCUCGGAUCGUAAAACUCUGUUAUUAGGGAAGAACAAAUUUGUAAGUAACUGUGCACGUCUUGACGGUAACUAAUCAGAAAGCCACGGCUAACUACGUG
This 497-nucleotide ribosomal RNA is filed under the name uncultured bacterium. RNAcentral's name for it is "partial 16S ribosomal RNA". It matches the Rfam family "Bacterial small subunit ribosomal RNA", at positions 28 to 507 of the family's 1533-position model. The record is from RNAcentral.